UGAAAAUAAACAUCACCCGGGCAAAAUAGUGAGAGUUCGCAUUGUUGGAGCUCCAGAAAAUCCUUUUGAGGCGGCAAAGAGGAAAAAUAUAUACAAAGAUUCAGGUUUAGAAGAAAAUGACUCAAGAGACGUAGCCCUAGAAAUUAAUGAACCAUCAACUUCUUCUAAAUGUAUUUCUCCUGUUCAGCCUGUUCUCAUGGAAGUCGUUGAAAAUUCGACAAAUUCCGGUAAUGAUAAAUGUAAUAACCCUGCAAAGAAAAUGAAAACUGUCGGCGCCUUGAUUGUGUCACUUUCUGAGAGAAUUUCGGAAGGAUCUGAUGAAGCCAUAUCCCAAAAUAAAAACAUCAAAUCUGACUCAAUUGGUAAAAACUCUAUCUCAGAUGUCAGGGAAGAUGAUGAUGCAUCUGACCAUAAUUUAGUAUUAAAUAAUGGCGGCUACAACAAUGUAUGGACGGA
Anthonomus grandis grandis is the source of this 456-nucleotide long non-coding RNA. RefSeq lists it as uncharacterized. Lineage: Eukaryota; Metazoa; Arthropoda; Insecta; Coleoptera; Curculionidae. The record is from RefSeq and is a predicted model, not a curated record. The transcript has 4 exons.